RNAcentral lists this ribosomal RNA (413 nucleotides) under uncultured prokaryote. RNAcentral's name for it is "bacterial SSU rRNA". It matches the Rfam family "Bacterial small subunit ribosomal RNA", at positions 505 to 918 of the family's 1533-position model. The record is from RNAcentral.
GUGUCAGCCGCCGCGGUAAAACGUAGGGGGCAAGCGUUGUCCGGAUUCACUGGGCGUAAAGGGUCCGUAGGCGGCCUGCUAAGUCGGACGUGAAAGACCCUAGCUCAACUGGGGAAUUGCGUCCGAAACUGGUGGGCUAGAGCCCAGGAGAGGAAGGUGGAAUUCCCGGUGUAGCGGUGAAAUGCGCAGAUAUCGGGAGGAACACCAGUGGGGAAGCCGGCCUUCUGGCCUGUGGCUGACGCUGAGGGACGAAAGCCAGGGGAGCGAACCGGAUUAGAUACCCGGGUAGUCCUGGCCGUAAACGAUGGAUGCUAGAUGUGGGCGGGGAGACCCGUCCGUGUCGCAAGCUAACGCGUUAAGCAUCCCGCCUGGGGAGUACGGCCGCAAGGUUGAAACUCAAAGAAUUGGCGGGG